UACGAAGGGGGCUAGCGUUGUUCGGAAUUACUGGGCGUAAAGCGCGCGCAGGCGGUCCUUCAAGUCAGAGGUGAAAGCCCAGAGCUCAACUCUGGAACGGCCUUUGAAACUAGAGGACUAGGGUACGGGAGAGGUGAGUGGAAUUCCGAGUGUAGAGGUGAAAUUCGUAGAUAUUCGGAAGAACACCAGUGGCGAAGGCGGCUCACUGGCCCGUUACCGACGCUCAGGCGCGAAAGCGUGGGGAGCAAACAGG
Molecule: ribosomal RNA, 253 nt
Filed under: uncultured bacterium
Lineage: Bacteria
Description: partial 16S ribosomal RNA
Rfam family: Bacterial small subunit ribosomal RNA
Source: RNAcentral